RNAcentral lists this ribosomal RNA (532 nucleotides) under uncultured bacterium. Its description in RNAcentral is "bacterial SSU rRNA". It matches the Rfam family "Bacterial small subunit ribosomal RNA", at positions 355 to 896 of the family's 1533-position model. The record is from RNAcentral.
UGGGGAAUAUUGCGCAAUGGGCGAAAGCCUGACGCAGCAACGCCGCGUGAGGGAUGACGGCCUUCGGGUUGUAAACCUCUUUCAGCAGGGACGAAGCGAAAGUGACUGUACCUGCAGAAGAAGCGCCGGCUAACUACGUGCCAGCAGCCGCGGUAAUACGUAGGGCGCAAGCGUUGUCCGGAUUUAUUGGGCGUAAAGAGUUCGUAGGCGGUCUGUCGCGUCGGAAGUGAAAACCCGGAGCUCAACUCCGGGCCUGCCUUCGAUACGGGCAGACUUGAGUGUUGCAGGGGAGACUGGAAUUCCUGGUGUAGCGGUGGAAUGUGCAGAUAUCAGGAGGAACACCGGUGGCGAAGGCGGGUCUCUGGGCAACAACUGACGCUGAGGAACGAAAGCGUGGGGAGCGAACAGGAUUAGAUACCCUGGUAGUUCCCGCUGUAAACGGUGGGCACCUAGGUGUGGGGACCAUUCCACGGUCUCUGCGCCGCAGCUAACGCAUUAAGUGCCCCGCCUGGGGAGUACGGCCGCAAGGCUA